CAAGUCGAACGCGAAAGUUCCCUUCGGGGAGCAAGUAGAGUGGCGCACGGGUGAGUAACACGUAGGUAAUCUACCUUUGGAUGGGGAAUAACAACCGGAAACGGUUGCUAAUACCGCAUAAUGCAGCGGCACCUAAUGGUGACAGUUGUUAAAGCGGGGGAUCGAAAGACCUCGCGUCUGAAGAGGAGCCUGCGGCGGAUUAGCUAGUUGGUAAGGUAAUGGCUUACCAAGGCGAUGAUCCGUAACCGGCCUGAGAGGGCGGUCGGUCACACUGACACUGACAUACGGGUCAGACUCCUACGGGAGGCAGCAGUCGGGAAUUUUGGGCAAUGGGCGAAAGCCUGACCCAGCAACGCCGCGUGAAGGAUGAAAUCCCUCGGGAUGUAAACUUCGCAAGAACAGGAAGAAUAAGUAAGGGUUAAUAUCCCUUAUGAUGACGGUACUGUUUGUAAGCUCCGGCUAACUCCGUGCCAGCAGCCGCGGUAAUACGGGGGGAGCAAGCGUUGUUCGGAUUUACUGGGCGUAAAGGGCGCGUAGGCGGCCACCGCAAGUCGGUUGUGAAAUCUCUGGGCUUAACCCAGAAAGGUCAACCGAUACUGCGGGGCUAGAGUGCAGAAGGGGCAACUGGAAUUCUCGGUGUAGCGGUGAAAUGCGUAGAUAUCGAGAGGAACACCUGCGGCGAAGGCGGGUUGCUGGGCUGACACUGACGCUGAAGCGCGAAAGCUAGGGGAGCGAACGGGAUUAGAUACCCCGGUAGUCCUAGCCUUAAACGAUGAAUGCUUGGUGUCUGGGGUUUUAUAGUCCCCGGGUGCCGUCGCUAACGCUUUAAGCAUUCCGCCUGGGGAGUACGGUCGCAAGACUGAAACUCAAAGGAAUUGACG
RNAcentral lists this ribosomal RNA (881 nucleotides) under uncultured Bacillota bacterium. RNAcentral's name for it is "bacterial SSU rRNA". It matches the Rfam family "Bacterial small subunit ribosomal RNA", at positions 58 to 915 of the family's 1533-position model. The record is from RNAcentral. Lineage: Bacteria; Bacillati; Bacillota.